ACAUACGACCACAGACUCAAGAGAAUUGGGCAUCCCGUCCGCUCUGCCAUACACAAGCUUGAGAUCGGUAGAUUAGUAGUUGGGUGGGUGACCACCAGCGAAUACCCACUGUUGUAUGUU
Molecule: ribosomal RNA, 120 nt
Organism: Pseudogymnoascus pannorum
Lineage: Eukaryota; Fungi; Ascomycota; Leotiomycetes; Thelebolales; Thelebolaceae
Source: Rfam